This is a long non-coding RNA of Myotis daubentonii (Daubenton's bat), 517 nucleotides long. RefSeq lists it as uncharacterized. Lineage: Eukaryota; Metazoa; Chordata; Mammalia; Chiroptera; Vespertilionidae. The record is from RefSeq and is a predicted model, not a curated record.
ACCUCCAGCUCGAACCCAGCCGAAGUAUCUUCAGAGAGCCUUCUUGUGAUGUUCUCAGCUUAGGGCCAUCCCUCCCUCAUUUCAUCCUCUGAAUCCGGCAAAUGCCUAGCAACUCUCCUAGGAAAUGUGCCUCCUAAAGCUGAAUGCAAAUGUGAAAAAAAAUAAUAGUGUGCAACAAUUAAGGAAUCCACACACCUUCUCUCAAGCCAGACCUGAGUCAUUUCUGACAAAUGUGAUGAGAAUACAACCAUCACCACUAAAAAACCCCCACAAAUACUCAGCUGAAAAGCCUCACUUUCUCCAGCUGCUGUCUCCAGAGCCACCUGAGAGUGGAAUGGAAAGGGAUUGAUCCAAUGGUGCUCAGAUGGGGGGGCUUCAGAACCACCUGGAAGGCUUGCUAAAACAGGUUUCUGGGCCCCACCCCAGAGUUUCUGAGCCAGUAAGCCUUAUGGCAAUCAUGUCAAACUCAAAGGCUAACACGGGCCAAAUAAAUGAGGCCUGCGGGCCGCGAGUUUGA